UGCAAAGAACGGGCGCGAGUGACAGAGCGACCUUAACGGAUUAGCACCUUAACGGAUUAGCACCUUAACGGAUUAGCGUGGCAAGACCAAGAGCAGUGAUGACCUUUUAGCUGGAAUGGCCAGAGGGGUAACGGUGACUAAUGGUGUUAAAGGGAAGGAAAGCUCCUGCCCAUCUGCAGCACCUUCGGCAUCUGCCCCUGCCAUGACCACUGUGGAGAACAAAUCCAAGAUUAGCACAGGUAUGGGUGACAUUCAGUCUGAGACUUCAACUGCUUUUUUGUUUGAAUAGGCAGGAUGCAUUGGUGUUUACAGUGUUCCAUCUCAUUAUAGGAAAUUGUAGACAUACAAAAGUAGAUGGAUUGAUAUUUCAGCCCAAUACGCUCAUCACGCUCAUCACCAUUAUCAGCUCACAGCCAGUUGUAACUCUGUGAUACCCACCCUCCCCUCUUAUUAUUU
Molecule: long non-coding RNA, 456 nt
Filed under: Homo sapiens (human)
Lineage: Eukaryota; Metazoa; Chordata; Mammalia; Primates; Hominidae
Description: non-protein coding lnc-DGCR6-6:24
Source: RNAcentral